RNAcentral lists this small RNA (504 nucleotides) under uncultured Glomus. RNAcentral's name for it is "SSU rRNA". It matches the Rfam family "Eukaryotic small subunit ribosomal RNA", at positions 569 to 1075 of the family's 1831-position model. Lineage: Eukaryota; Fungi; Glomeromycota; Glomeromycetes; Glomerales; Glomeraceae. The record is from RNAcentral.
AGCAGCCGCGGUAAUUCCAGCUCCAAUAGCGUAUAUUAAAGUUGUUGCAGUUAAAAAGCUCGUAGUUGAAUUUCGGGAUCAAUUGAUUGGUCAUGCCUUGGUAUGAACUGGUCAUAUUGGUUCUCACCUUCUAAUGAACCAUAAUGUCAUUCACUUGAUGUUAUGGGGAAUUAGGACUGUUACCUUGAAAAAAUUAGAGUGUUUAAAGCAGGCUUACGCUUGAAUACAUUAGCAUGGAAUAAUGAAAUAGGACAUCGCAUUCUAUUUUGUUGGUUUCUAGGAUCGAUGUAAUGAUUAAUAGGGAUAGUUGGGGGCAUUAGUAUUCAAUUGUCAGAGGUGAAAUUCUUGGAUUUAUUGAAGACUAACUACUGCGAAAGCAUUUGCCAAGGAUGUUUUCAUUAAUCAAGAACGAAAGUUAGGGGAUCGAAGACGAUCAGAUACCGUCGUAGUCUUAACCAUAAACUAUAGCCGACUAGGGAUCGGAUGAUGUUAAUUUUAAAUGAC